Globicephala melas (long-finned pilot whale) is the source of this 362-nucleotide long non-coding RNA. RefSeq lists it as uncharacterized. The record is from RefSeq and is a predicted model, not a curated record. Lineage: Eukaryota; Metazoa; Chordata; Mammalia; Artiodactyla; Delphinidae.
GUCGGGACAGGGCGCCUGGCUCCGCGCGGGGCUCGCGGGCGGCGGCGCUUCCGGGCCCCAGGGGGCCGCCGUGGCCUCUGGAAUUCCGCCGGCCGCGCUCAGGGGUCUGCAGAUACUGAAACCCCCACCGGUAUGCUGCAGACCCCAGACACGCUGGAACCAGAAGGUUGAUGAUGUUGACUCCCACUCACCUCACCACCAACCGAUCAGAAGAAUUUCCAUGAGCUGACCACACCCUCUUGAACCAUUACUAUCAAACUUCUCACUACCCUCUCCAAGUUGGGACACACAGUUUUGAGGGCAUUAGCCUGCUGUGGCCCCCUUUGCCUGGCAAAACAAUAAAGCUAUUCCUUUCUACUUCA